Molecule: long non-coding RNA, 681 nt
Filed under: Gossypium barbadense (sea-island cotton)
Lineage: Eukaryota; Viridiplantae; Streptophyta; Magnoliopsida; Malvales; Malvaceae
Description: long non-coding RNA (GBAR_LNC011774)
Source: RNAcentral
AAAAGAAAAGCCUCCCUUUCUCUCUGUCCCCGCCUUGACCGGCUCAUGGGGUUCAUCGGUGCUUCAUGCACCUCCGCCUCUGUCGAUGACCCCCGGAGUGAAUCCAAGUAAGCUUCCCUUUCCUUCUAUUUUCCGCCCCUUUUUAUUUAAAAUAGAUUUGUAAAAACAAAAAUAAACAAAAGAAUAAAUGGGAAAUGAGAAAACGAAGAGAAAUCCCAAAAAAAGAUUAAAAAAUGACACCUUUUAAACUUUGGAUCUGAUUCUUUUGAUUGCUAUUGUGUCUUUUUGUAUUGAUUUUCUGUCUAUAUGCAAAAGAAGCUACAAAACGAUUUCUCUUGGGCUUUAUAGCUGAGAGAAAAAGAAAUAAUACAAAGAAUUUCUUUGCUGUGCUGUUUUUCUCUUUUCGUCUCUUUGUUGUUGUCAUUUUUGCAUUGGCUUGUAGGUACAAGAGUACGGAGGUACGUGGUGGUACAAAGGCUGUCUGCUGGAGGUUGCUGAAGCGACGCAAGGCUGGUGUGGCUAGGGUUUCCUGAGAAUGUUUUCUCGUCUUGGGCUAUUUGGGCCCUAAGUUUGGGCUAGUUUUAUUAUUAUUUUUGGGUAUUGGGCUAUUUUGGAACAUUCUGUGCUUAGGUUUGUAUGGACUAUUGUAAAUGGACAGGACUUAUUUUAUUUUGAUUUAGC